This 909-nucleotide ribosomal RNA is filed under the name uncultured archaeon. RNAcentral describes it as "bacterial SSU rRNA". It matches the Rfam family "Archaeal small subunit ribosomal RNA", at positions 6 to 922 of the family's 1478-position model. The record is from RNAcentral.
GGUUGAUCCYGCCGGAGGUCACUGCUAUCGGGGUUCGACUAAGCCAUGCAAGUCGAGAGGGGUAAAGCCCUCGGCGAACUGCUCAGUAACACGUGGAUAACCUGACCUAGGGUGGAGGAUAACCCCGGGAAACUGGGGAUAAUACUCCAUAGGCUACGGAAGCUGGAAUGCUCUGUAACCGAAAGCUCCGGCGCCCUAGGAUGGGUCUGCGGCCGAUUAGGUUGUUGUUGGGGUAACGGCCCAACAAGCCGAUCAUCGGUACGGGUUGUGGGAGCAAGAGCCCGGAGAUGGAUUCUGAGACAUGAAUCCAGGCCCUACGGGGCGCAGCAGGCGCGAAAACUUUACAAUGCGGGAACCCGUGAUAAGGGGACCCCGAGUGCCUGUACACGCAGGCUGUUCAGGUGUUUAAAACGCAUCUGGAGAAAGGGCCGGGCAAGACCGGUGCCAGCCGCCGCGGUAAUACCGGCGGCUCGAGUGGUGGCCACUAUUACUGGGCUUAAAGCGUCCGUAGCCGGGUUGUUAAGUCUCCCGGGAAAUCCAACGGCUCAACCGUUGGGCGUUCGGGGGAUACUGGCAAUCUAGGGAUCGGGGGAGGUGAGAGGUACUCUAGGGGUAGGAGUGAAAUCCUGUAAUCCUUGGGGGACCACCUGUGGCGAAGGCGUCUCACCAGAACGACUCCGACGGUGAGGGACGAAAGCUGGGGGAGCAAACCGGAUUAGAUACCCGGGUAGUCCCAGCUGUAAACGAUGCGCGUUAGGUGUAUCGGUGACUACGAGUCACCGAGGUGCCGAAGGGAAACCGUGAAACGUGCCGCCUGGGAAGUACGGUCGCAAGGCUGAAACUUAAAGGAAUUGGCGGGGGAGCACCACAACGGGUGGAGCCUGCGGUUUAAUUGGAGUCAACGCCGGG